UCCAAGUCCGAAUCUAUAUGGUUCUUUGAGCCAACAAGUGAAACAGUUUAAGUGAAGUUACCGUGAAAGAUUCAAGUCUGAAUCUGUUUAAGGUUCUUUGAGCCAACAAGUGAAACAGUUUAAGUGAAGUUACCGUGAAAGAUUCAAGUCUGAAUCUGUUUAAGGUUCUUUGAACCAACAAGUGAAACAGUUUUAGUGAAGUGAACCUGCGAUGUGCAACACGACGGCGUGGCGUGACGGGAGAGGAACACUAUCAAGACUGCAGCGACACGGUGUAAUUCUGUGCUCCUGACAUUUUUGUAUUUUAAUGUUGGAAAAUAAAGUCAUUUUGGAAAAAGUCUCGUAACAAAUCAGAAGGGGAUUAUUUCACGUGCUAAUUAGUGAAAUUUGUGUGGCGUUGGUAAAAGUGCGGCGAAGUUAUUGUCAAGGACAUUUUACCGGCGGGUAGAGUCCGUGCAAGAAAAGGCGAUAACGGACUAAAAAAGCGAUAACGAAACAAAGAAAAGGCGGUUGUGUAACAAGGUCACAUAUGGUGUGGCAGACAGAAUUUGGCGUAAUUUCUCAAAAUGUCCGAAAUGACAGACGGGCGAUAAGGAAGGAAUUUUCUUGACCAUGGUGGAGGAAUUGGAGUUGGAUGAGGCGGCUUCGGUGACGGUUUCUGCGGCGGUUUAGGUGACGUCAGGGGAUUAAAUUGCUCGUAGCCUGGAGCACCUGUUGGAGUGAUUCGAAGGCGCAGAAGAUAGUCACUGCGUUGACUUCUGGAGUCACAUCGAAAGAUGUUAAGGUGGUGUAUAAGGUGAAUACGGGCGAGGCUGGCGCAAGAGUUCUGGAGUAACAUCGAAAGAUAUUAACGUGGUGUAUAAGGUUUAAACGGGCGAGGUAGGCGCAAGACCCGGCGAGGCAGGCGCAAGACCCGGCGAGGCAGGCGCAAGGCGAGGUAGGCGCAAGACUCGGCGAGGCUGGCAUAAGUUACCGUGAAAGAUUCAAGUCUGAAUUUGUUUAUGGUUCUUGGAACCAGGAAGUGAAACAGUUUAAGUGAAGUUACCGAGAAAGAUUCAAGUCUGAAUCUCUUGAUGGUUCUUUGAGCCAAGAAGUGUAGCUGUUUAAGUGAAGUUAUGUCAUUUUUAUUCAUUCCAAACCAAUUAAUCUAACAAUAUAUACAUACUUUAUAACUCCAUAAUUAGUGCACCAUGAACCAGCUGAAUCAUUUCUGGUUAUACCAAAACAAAAAUAAUUCUUCAAUAAAUUUUUGAUUUAUUUGAUUCGAUUUAUAAUAUGAUGUUAUAUUCUUCUUGUUUUCAUUCUCAUAUAAACCAACAAUCUCGUUUAAAGUGUCUUAUCUUUUGGCAAAAAUUACAUUUUUUCUUCUCGGCACCUACCUAUAAUGCUGCUUUCAUCAUUUUUUUCUCUUAAUUUUAUGCAGCCGCAAGCACUGUUAAUUAGCUGCUGCUGCUUCCAUUCUUGUAUUAAAUUUUUGUAAAUACAUAAUAGUUUCUUGGAAGAAGAGGGAAUUUGUUACGAAGGGUAACAGAAAAAGUUGCCAUAGCGUGAGUGCAUUUUAAUUUUUAAGUUUUGCAUUUUUGUAUUAAUUAAAAUUGUUCAAUUUAUUAUCACUUGAAAUAAAAACAGUCUUUUUUUUCUCAAA
This is a long non-coding RNA of Tribolium madens (black flour beetle), 1645 nucleotides long. RefSeq lists it as uncharacterized. The transcript has 2 exons. NCBI's taxonomy places the organism in Eukaryota, Metazoa, Arthropoda, Insecta, Coleoptera, Tenebrionidae. The record is from RefSeq and is a predicted model, not a curated record.